GAUGAACGCUGGCGGCGUGCCUAAUACAUGCAAGUCGAGCGCAGCGGGGACGGGUGCGUAACACGUGGCUACACUCCUAUAAGACUGGGAUAACUUCGGGAAACCGGCGCUAAACCUGAUACUUAUGGAUGGAUCUUCGCUGCAUUAGCUAGGUGGUAAGGUAACGGCGUACCAAGUCAACGAUGCAUAGCCGACCUCAGAGGGUGAGCGGCCACAAUGGAACGGAGACACGGUCCAGAAGCCUACGGGAGGCAGCAGUAGGGAAUCUUCCGCGAUGGGCGAAAGCCUGACGGAGCCACGACGCGUGAGUGAUGAAGGUCUUCGGAUCGGAAAACGCUGUUAUUAGGGAAGCGGUACCUAAUCAGAAAGCCACGGCUAACUACGGGCCAGCAGCCGCGGUAAUAC
This 405-nucleotide ribosomal RNA is filed under the name uncultured bacterium. Its description in RNAcentral is "partial 16S ribosomal RNA". It matches the Rfam family "Bacterial small subunit ribosomal RNA", at positions 28 to 526 of the family's 1533-position model. The record is from RNAcentral.